AUUGAACGCUGGCGGCAUGCUUUACACAUGCAAGUCGAACGGUAACAGGGUGCUUGUACCGCUGACGAGUGGCGAACGGGUGAGUAAUGCGUCGGAACGUGCCGAGUAGUGGGGGAUAACGCGUCGAAAGGUGUGCUAAUACCGCAUACGUACUGAGGUAGAAAGUGGGGGACCUUCGGGCCUCACGCUAUUCGAGCGGCCGAUGUCUGAUUAGCUAGUUGGUGAGGUAAAGGCUCACCAAGGCGACGAUCAGUAGCGGGUCUGAGAGGAUGAUCCGCCACACUGGGACUGAGACACGGCCCAGACUCCUACGGGAGGCAGCAGUGGGGAAUUCUGGACAAUGGGCGCAAGCCUGAUCCAGCCAUGCCGCGUGUCUGAAGAAGGCCUUCGGGUUGUAAAGGACUUUUGUCCGGGAGCAAAUACCCAGUGCUAAUAACGCUGGGGGCUGAGAGUACCGGAAGAAUAAGCACCGGCUAACUACGUGCCAGCCGCCGCAGUAA
This 500-nucleotide ribosomal RNA is filed under the name uncultured bacterium. Its description in RNAcentral is "partial 16S ribosomal RNA". It matches the Rfam family "Bacterial small subunit ribosomal RNA", at positions 30 to 523 of the family's 1533-position model. The record is from RNAcentral.